Molecule: ribosomal RNA, 253 nt
Filed under: uncultured bacterium
Lineage: Bacteria
Description: partial 16S ribosomal RNA
Rfam family: Bacterial small subunit ribosomal RNA
Source: RNAcentral
UACGGAGGGUGCAAACGUUGCUCGGAAUCAUUGGGCGUAAAGCGCACGUAGGUGGUCCGUUAAGUCGGGAGUGAAAGCCCUCGGCUCAACUGAGGAAGUGCUUUCGAAACUGGCGGACUUGAAUACUGGAGAGGAUCGCGGAAUUCCCGGUGUAGAGGUGAAAUUCGUAGAUAUCGGGAGGAACACCAGCGGCGAAGGCGGCGAUCUGGACAGAUAUUGACACUGAGGUGCGAAAGCGUGGGGAGCAAACAGG